This 253-nucleotide ribosomal RNA is filed under the name uncultured bacterium. Its description in RNAcentral is "partial 16S ribosomal RNA". It matches the Rfam family "Bacterial small subunit ribosomal RNA", at positions 524 to 776 of the family's 1533-position model. The record is from RNAcentral.
UACGUAGGUGGCAAGCGUUAUCCGGAAUUAUUGGGCGUAAAGCGCGCGCAGGCGGUCCUUUAAGUCUGAUGUGAAAGCCCACGGCUCAACCGUGGAGGGUCAUUGGAAACUGGGGGACUUGAGUGCAGAAGAGGAGAGCGGAAUUCCACGUGUAGCGGUGAAAUGCGUAGAGAUGUGGAGGAACACCAGUGGCGAAGGCGGCUCACUGGCCCGAUACUGACGCUGAGGCACGAAAGCGUGGGGAGCAAACAGG